GGAACUGUAGCUCAACGGUAGAGCUCUUGCUUGGCAGACAUGAGGUCCUAGGUUCAAUUCUCAGCGCAGCUA
RNAcentral lists this transfer RNA (72 nucleotides) under Mesocricetus auratus (golden hamster). It matches the Rfam family "tRNA". From Rfam's summary of the family: Transfer RNA (tRNA) molecules are approximately 80 nucleotides in length. Their secondary structure includes four short double-helical elements and three loops (D, anti-codon, and T loops). Lineage: Eukaryota; Metazoa; Chordata; Mammalia; Rodentia; Cricetidae. The record is from Rfam by way of RNAcentral.